RNAcentral lists this small nucleolar RNA (74 nucleotides) under Mus musculus (house mouse). RNAcentral's name for it is "Z12 small nucleolar RNA gene". It matches the Rfam family "Small nucleolar RNA SNORD104". Rfam says of the family: The members of this family belong to the C/D class of snoRNAs which contain the C (UGAUGA) and D (CUGA) box motifs. Most of the members of the box C/D family function in directing site-specific 2'-O-methylation of substrate RNAs. The record is from RNAcentral. Lineage: Eukaryota; Metazoa; Chordata; Mammalia; Rodentia; Muridae.
CGGCGAUGAUGACACUCCAUACAUAGCACGCGUUAGACUGCUGAUCCGGGUGAUGCGAAUCGUAAUCUGAGCCG